GAUGAACGCUGGCGGCGUGCCUAAUACAUGCAAGUAGAACGCUGAAGGAGGAGCUUGCUCUUCUGGAUGAGUUGCGAACGGGUGAGUAACGCGUAGGUAACCUGCCUGGUAGCGGGGGAUAACUAUUGGAAACGAUAGCUAAUACCGCAUGACAACAGUUAUUGCAUGAUAACUGUUUAAAAGGGGCAACUGCUCCAAUACCAGAUGGAACUGCGUUGUAUUAGCUAGUUGGUGAGGUAACGGCUCACCAAGGCGACGAUACAUAGCCGACCUGAGAGGGGGAUCGGCCACACUGGGACUGGGACACGGCCCAGACUCCUACGGGAGGCAGCAGUAGGGAAUCUUCGGCAAUGGACGGAAGUCUGACCGAGCAACGCCGCGUGAGUGAAGAAGGUUUUCGGAUCGUAAAGCUCUGUUGUAAGAGAAGAACGAGUGUGAGAGUGGAAAGUUCACACUGUGACGGUAUCUUACCAGAAAGGGACGGCUAACUACGUG
This 495-nucleotide ribosomal RNA is filed under the name uncultured bacterium. Its description in RNAcentral is "partial 16S ribosomal RNA". It matches the Rfam family "Bacterial small subunit ribosomal RNA", at positions 28 to 507 of the family's 1533-position model. The record is from RNAcentral.